RNAcentral lists this ribosomal RNA (250 nucleotides) under uncultured bacterium. Its description in RNAcentral is "partial 16S ribosomal RNA". It matches the Rfam family "Bacterial small subunit ribosomal RNA", at positions 29 to 284 of the family's 1533-position model. The record is from RNAcentral.
AGUGAACGCUGGCGGCGUGGUUAAGACAUGCAAGUCGAGCGACAGCAGCAAUGCUGGAGCGGCAAACGGGUGCGUAACACGUGAGCAAUCUGCCCUUAAGACUGGAAUAGCCCUGGGAAACUAGGAUUAAUACCGGAUGUGGACGGGUCAGGCAUCUGACCUUAUCCAAAGCUUGUAACGGCGCUUAAGGAGGAGCUCGCGGCCUAUCAGCUAGUUGGCGAGGUAACGGCUCACCAAGGCUAAGACGGGU